This 590-nucleotide ribosomal RNA is filed under the name uncultured bacterium. Its description in RNAcentral is "bacterial SSU rRNA". It matches the Rfam family "Bacterial small subunit ribosomal RNA", at positions 377 to 959 of the family's 1533-position model. The record is from RNAcentral.
GAAAGCCUGAUGCAGCCAUGCCGCGUGUAUGAAGAAGGCCUUCGGGUUGUAAAGUACUUUCAGUUGUGAGGAAGGGGGUAACGUUAAUAGCGUUAUCUCUUGACGUUAGCAACAGAAGAAGCACCGGCUAACUCCGUGCCAGCAGCCGCGGUAAUACGGAGGGUGCGAGCGUUAAUCGGAAUUACUGGGCGUAAAGCGCAUGCAGGUGGUUCAUUAAGUCAGAUGUGAAAGCCCGGGGCUCAACCUCGGAACUGCAUUUGAAACUGGUGAACUAGAGUGCUGUAGAGGGGGGUAGAAUUUCAGGUGUAGCGGUGAAAUGCGUAGAGAUCUGAAGGAAUACCAGUGGCGAAGGCGGCCCCCUGGACAGACACUGACACUCAGAUGCGAAAGCGUGGGGAGCAAACAGGAUUAGAUACCCUGGUAGUCCACGCCGUAAACGAUGUCUACUUGGAGGUUGUGGCCUUGAGCCGUGGCUUUCGGAGCUAACGCCUUAAGUAGACCGCCUGGGGAGUACGGCCGCAAGAUUAAAACUCAAAUGAAUUGACGGGGGCCCGCACAAGCGGUGGAGCAUGUGGUUUAAUUCGAUGCAC